UAUUAUUGUCUCUCUAUCUUUCUUUCGCCGACCUGAACCUUUCUAUUUCUAUCCUUCCUCUUUCCACUCCAUGAAAGCUUAUUUCAAGGUUUUCCAGUCAUAAUCUGUCAUAUCAAAUUUAUUCCUCAUUCUUUUCAUUCUUUUUUAUUCCCUUUUCUCUGCAACAACUGUAUUUUUUGUCCAAAAAUUUUAAACUCUCACAUGGGACAAAGAUGAGACCCCAAUAGUUCAAGAGGUAGGAUAGUUCAAGAGGAAGGAGAACUGCAAAUUAUGAUUCAUCCAAUUUGUCUCUCCACUUGCACAAACUUGUUUUAGAGACAACAUUUAUCGUAACUUUAUUCCAGAGAAAAAAAUGAAGUUUUUUCCUACUGAAGGGCAAAGAGCGAGAAAGUUUUUGGGGCUUAUUUACUAUCACAUUUAGACUAAAUUCGCGCAACAACCUGAUGAAUUCAUUCCUACUUUUGUUCAAGAAUUUUGCUCAAACAUUGACAACGCUGAUAAUUGCACAUGGGUACGAGGUAAGAUCAUUUACUUCUCUGCCGAUGUGAUUAAUACCAUGUAUGGACUUGACGAAGUAGAUGACACUGCAAUAAUUGGUAUUCUUAUCCAUUCCAAUAUUGAUGAAAUGUUAAUGCCCUUUAUCCCUAUGGGAUGGAUUAGAUUUAUAAACCUAGUGGUGAGCUAGAUUUCUUUAGAGGAAUAAAUAUAUAUCGUGUUAGUAGAGCUUUAUUAUAUUUUAUUAACAGUAGUCUUUUUCCAGAUCCAAACCAUGAUAAAAUUUGAGCUAGAAGAGCAACAUUGAUUUUUGCAAUAUACAAAGGAAUGUGGCUAAAUAUUGGUAAGAUAUUUAAUAAAUAAACCAACUUAUGUAGAAGAAACAACAAUAUUAGAUCAUUUUACUUCCCAUGUUUAGUGACUACUUUGAUAAAAAAUGCUAAGGUGAUAAUUCUAGAGGAUUUUCAAAAGAUCGUCCCAAGAGAUCCUAUUACUAUGGCUUUUCUAGCUAGCCAGGGAGACACAACUAGGCCACAUCAUGAAGAACGAGCUUCCCUCAGCCAAAUACAAGUUAGAGAAGGUCAGGAGCAGGUAAUACGAGCUGCUUUAGAUCCACCUCAAACAAGGAGAGAAAGAAAGUAUGUUAUUGAAGAAGUUAGAAGACUGGAGGAGCAGAUGAUGACCAUGAUUGGUCGUGAAUAACAAUUACAACAUGAUUGUCACGACCCCAAAUUCCACCAAAGCCGUGACGAUGCCUAACACUUCUUGUUAGGUAAGCCAACAUUCAAUAAGCAGGAACAAACUUAAUUAACAGAAAUAAAUAGUCCCAACAGUGGAAUAAUCAUAAAUAACUGAAGCCAAUAGUAAUAACACAACUAAAACCAUCCCAUGAUCUAGUAUCAACAAGUACAUGAGUGAUAUAGAAAUUGUAAAUAUAGAGUCUGAUCUCGAGAUACAGUACUAUCUGAAAGAUAGAAAAAUAAUAAUAUAAACCCAGAGAAAAGGAGCUUCAAGGCCUACGAACAAAAACAUCAGCUACCUUGAAAUCUCUGAGAACUAGUACCGUUGCCACUCACUAGCAAUCACCUCUCUCGGCAGUACCUGAAUCUGCACAAAUAGUGCAGAGUGUAGUAUGAGUACAACCGACCUCAUGUAGCCAAUAAGUAACAAGCGUAACCUCGGACUGAAAGCUGUGUGAGCUUGGCAAGGUCCAAUAUUUAAAUUCCAUUAGCCAAUAAUAACGAUAGCUGAAUAAUAACGGCAACAGGAAAAGUAGCUCAAAUAAUAUUAAGUGCAACCUUUCACAAUAAGAAAAAAAUAAACAUGAUUUUCAAGAAUAAUAGUUAAGGUAUAAGUUUUCCACAUGAAUCACCAAAACAUGGUCUUAUCAAUUUAAUUAUGUUUUCAGGUCCCACAUCAAAUAAAAACCUCAAGUACCAAUAAGUAUGAAGGAAGAAACACAACUCGGUACCUGCAUGACAAGUAUACAUGUUAGAACCGAUAAUAUCGCAGUUAAAUCAUCAAGUAUGUCUAAUCUCAACACAUGUAUGGUGCAUGGCAUAAAUUCCCUUCAAUCAUCACACACACAACAACACCCAACACUGUACGGGGGCCUGACACAAGUCCCUCAUCAAGCACAUAUAUGACGCGUGUGCCUGCGCCCACGGUUAUUACUUGACUCCAGAGGGGCGGGUCCUUGCCCAUGCUCUGAUUAGAUCUAAGUCAAUGAUCAAUAUCACAUAGCCCAAUAUGGGUUUGGUGCAUGUGUCACCUCGCAAUCAUUACCACUCAGCCCAAUGUAGGGCUUGACGUACGCAUCACCUCAUAAUCAAUACCAAAUCGUCUCUAUGGCCCAAGUUUAGUCAUCAACCACUCAAGUCCCAAAUAUUCACAUCUCACAGUACUCAGCUCAAACCGUGUCACACAUAUAAGGGCAUCAAUAGCGUGUGAGAUAAUAUAUAAAGAAUGCAUAGAGAAAGAGAUAUAAAAUGCAGAUGUAAUAUCACGACUGAGAAUAUGAUUACAAUCAAGGCAAACAAAUAUAUAGCAAGAAUAGCCCUAUCAUGUCUCAACAGAUAAGCACAUAGCCUAGACAUAAUUUCUAACAUGAAUAAUAGCUCAAGUAGCCAUACACGUAGAGAAAACACGGAAAUAAUGGGCAUGAUAGCAAAAUAAGGCACAAAAUAACCUAAGGUCUACCCGGAUCAUGAAUAACCACUAUGUACGCAUAUAUGUCAGUCACGUAGUACGUGUGUCACCCUCAAUAUAUCCCAAAUAUCAUAGCCAACGGGAAAAUUACCCUCAAACUAAGUUUAGACAAGUUACUUACCACAAAACCGCAUGAAUCAUUUCUCCAGAAAGCCCUUUCCACCCGAAUCGAUUUCCAAACGGCUCGAAACUAGUCAAAAAUAACUCAAUAACAUCAAACACGGGUAUAGAAAUCAAUUCCAAAUAAUAAAGUUUCAAUCUUUCUCAAAAUACAAAUUCAACCAAAAUGCCAACUCGGGACCACUUCUCGAAACCCGAACAAAGUCACAAAUCCCGAUUACGUAUUUGAAUACGAGUCAAAAUAUACAAGUCUUUUCCAAAUUCGACAUUAAAUUGGGGUUUAAAUCUCCAUUUUUUACUCUCCAAAGCCAUAGUCAAAAAUUCCCAAAUUUCUCCCUUAGAUUUCAACAAUCAAAAGCCAAAAUUAAAAGUGAAAUUAAGAAUAAUAAUCAAAUUCGAGAAAACUAAUUUUUACGAGAAUAAUUAUUUUUACGAGAAAUUAUUUUUACGAGAAAUUAUACGGUGCAUUUGCGGACCAAAAGGUUAACAGAGUAAAAAUAAUAUCAUGUAAAAUAUAUAUUAAAAUAAUAAUGUAUAAUAUACAUAUUUUUAUAUAUAAUCAAUGUAUAUUUUUUUUAUAUAUUUAACUAGCGAAUGUAAUUAUUUUUAGCUGACCGUCCAAAUAUAUAGGAGCGGGUCAAGGUCAUUGGGUGUAUUAAAAGAUACAGGUGGGUUUAUUUAAUACAAAUAAUAUACAUGACGGAUUAAGAAAAUACCACAUGUCGAAGUUAAAGUCAAAAAAUUGACCAAGUUAGUUCUGUUAGAUAUAGAGGUAAGUUUGAGCCCAAAAACAAACGUUAGGGGCAUUUGCGGACCAAAAGGUUAACAGAUGGUAUUUUUGAGCCAUUUACAAUACGUUAGGGAUAUUGUUGGCCCUUCUGUUAGAUAUAAGGGUAAGUUUGAGCCCAAAAAUAAACGUUAGGGGCAUUUGUAGACCGAAAGGUUAAUCGAGGGUAUUUUUGAGCUAUUUUCAAUAUGUUAGGGGCAUUUUUGGCCCUUUUCCGUUAAAAGUAUUAUGCACAUCAAUUAUCGUUUUUGCGGUCCAAAUGUCGGUUCUGCGACAUCGCAUCUACGGAAAAUACCUCACAGAUGCGAAAAUCUUUUAAAGGACCAACCUACCGCUUUUACGGCUAAAAAUCCCGCUUCUGCGGAUCCGCAGAUCCGCUUCUACAGACAAAGAAGCGCACAUAUGCCCGCGCAUAUGCGCAUGGUCCAUCGCAUCUGCGGACUCUCUAUUUACUAGCCAUACUCAUAUCUGCUACCUCACGCCCGCUUCUACUGACUCGCACUUGCGGACAAACACCUUAUAAGUGCGAAAACACCAGACCUGAACUGCCAACUAUCUCCAAAAUGAUCUGGAAUCCAUCCGAAACACACCCAAGAUCCCUGGGACCCCGCCCAAUCACACUGAUCACUCCCAAAAUGUAACACGGACCUACUCGAGGUCUUAAAUCACACAAAGUAACAUCAAAAUCACAAAUCACACCUGAAUUCAAGCUUAAUGAACUAAUCAAACUUCUAACUCCCAAACUCAUGUCGAACCACGUCUAAUCCACUUGGAAUGAACCCAAAUUUUUCACACCAGUUCCAAAUGAUAUAAUGAACCUAUCCUAAGUCCCGUAUUAAUAAUAUGAUCCCGAUAGCAUCAAAGUUAAUUCCCGGUCACAACUAUAAACUUUUCAAACCUUCGAACUAGAAACUUUCCUGUAGUGGUUAUUCAAAUCAUUUGGGGCAGACUCAGUACCAACAACCACCCCCGCAGAGAGGUUAUUUCGAGUGUGGUGAUACUGGGCACAUUGUGAGAGAUUGUCCCAGACUUCGAAUGGGUGGACCUCAGCAGGGUACUCAAGUUAUGAUUUCCGCUCCAGAUGCUACUCCACCUGCACAUCCAGCUAGAGGUGGAGGACAGGCGGGUAAAGGCCAUCCUAGAGGGGGAGGCCAUGCCUGUUAUUAUGUUUUACCUAGUAGGAAAGAUGCAGUCAUUACACGUAUUAUUCUGAUCUAUCAUAGAGAUGCUUCAGUUUUAUUUGAUUUGGGUUCUACUUAGUCAUAUGUGCCAUCAUACUUUGCUUCAUAUUUGGAUAUGCCUCGUGAUUCUAUGGAUAUUCCUAUUUAUGUGUCUACACCCGUCGGGAUUUCUAUUAUGGUGGAUCGUGUCUAUUGUUCUUGUUUGAUCACUAUUGGUGGCUACGCAACUAGGAUUGACCUUUUGUUGCUUAAUAUGGUGGACUUUGAUGUGGUCUUAGAUAUGGAUUGGUUAUAUUUGUAUCAUGCUAUUCUUGAUUAUCACGCUAAGACCGUAAUGUUGUCUAUGACGGGGUUGUCGAGGUUGGAAUGGAAAGGUUCUUUGGGGUAGAUUCCUAACAUAGUGGUUUCUUUUUUGAAGGCUCAACGGAUGGUUGAGAAGGGGUGUUUGGAGUACUUAGCCUUUGUGAGAGAUGUUAGUGAUGAUACUCCAACAGUUAGCUCAGUCCUCAUGGUGAGGGAGUUUCCAAAUGUUUUCCCUACAGACCUACCGGGCAUGCCUCCCAAUAUGGAUAUUGAUUUUGGCAUUAAUUUGGCACCGGAAACUAAGCCUAUAUCUAUUCCACAGUAUCGCAUGGCUCCAUCAAAUUAAAGGAAUAAAUGCAAGAAUUAUUAAAUAAAGGUUUCGUCAGGCCUAGUGUCUCACAUUGGGGUGCACCAGGGUUGUCUGUUAAGAAUAAAGACGAGUCUAUGAGAAUGAGUAUUGACUAUCGGUAGUUGAACAAGGUGAAAAUCAAGAACAAAUAUCUAUUGCCAUGCAUUGAUGACUUGUUCGAUCAGCUUUAGGGUUCCAGGGUGUUCUCGAAGAUCAACUUGAAGUUAGGGUAUCAUCAGUUGAAGAUCAGGGUUUUGGACAUCCCUAAGACUGCUUUUCAAAUUUGUUAUGGGCAUUAUGAGUUUUUGGUGACGUCUUUGUCUUGACUAAUGCCCCCGCAACUUUCAUGCACUUGAUGAACAAUGUGUUCCAACCUUAUUUGGGUUCUUUUGUCAUUGUGUUCAUUGAUGAUAUUUUAGUGUACUCCCGUAGUAGGGAAGAGCAUGAGCAGCAUUUGAGGAUCGUGCUCCAGACUUUAAAGGAGAAGAAGCUAUAUGCUAAGUUCUCUAAGUAUGAGUGCUGGUUGGAACCAGUGGCAUUCUUGGGUCAUGUAGUUUCCAAUAAGGGGAUUAAGGUAGAUCCGAAGAAUAUUGAGGCAGUUCAGAAUUGGUCCAGACCUUCUACCGCUAUAGAGAUUCAGAGUUUUCUAGGGUUGGCUGGGCAUUAUUGCCGCUUUGUGGAGGGGUUUUCAUCUAUUGCAACCCUAUUGACUAAUUUGACACAGAAGGGUGCUCCAUUCAGGUGGUCAGACGAGUAUGAGGAGAUCUUUUAGAAGCUCAAGACUGCCUUGACAACUCUAAUUUUGGUCUUGCCUUCAGUAUUGGGUUCAUAUCCAGUCUACUGUGAUGCUUUACAGGUUGGCAUUGGGUGUGUGUUAAUGGAGGAUAAUAGGGUGAUUGCCUAUGCUUCGCGUAAAUCGAAGCCCCAUGAGAAGAACUAUGUGGUGCAUGAUUUGGAGUUAGCAACUAUUGUACAUGCACUCAAGAUUUGGAGGAAUUAUUUAUAUGGAAUGUCUUGUGAGGUGUAUACGGAUCAUUGGAGUCUUCAUAAUCUAUUUAAACACAAAGAAUUGAAUUUGAGGAAGCAGAGGUAGUUAGAGAUAUUGAAAUAUUAUGAUAUCAUCAUUCUUUAUCAUCCGGGGAAGGACAAUGUGUAGCAGACACCUUGAGUAGAAAGGCGAAGACCAUGGGGAGUUUAGCAUUUAUUCCAGCUAGGAAGAGGCCUUUGGCUAUGAAUGUUCAGGAUUUGGCUAACAGGUUCGUGAUAUUAGACAUCAUGUAGCCUAGCAGAGUCCUAGAUUGUGUUGUAUCUCCAUCGUCCUUAUUUGAGCGCAUUACAGCUUGCCAGUAUGAUGAUCCCCACUUGCUUGUCCUUAAGGAUACAGUGCUGUGAGGUGGUGCUAAGGAGGUAACUAUUGGUGAUGAUGGUAUAUUGCGGCUUUAGAACCGGAUUUGUGUUUCUAAUGUGGAUGGGUUGAGAGGAUUGAUUAUUGAAGAGACUCAUAGUUUGCGGUAUUCCAUUCAUCCGGGAGCUACGACAAUGUACCGUGAUUUAAAGUAGCAUUAAUAGUGGGGGAGGAUGAAGAAAGACAUUGUUGGGUAUGUUGCUCGGCGUUUGAAUUGUCAGCAGGUCAAGUAUAAGCAUCAGAGGCCUACUGGUUUGCUUCAGAAGAUUCAUAUACCGGAGUGGAAGUGGUAGCGUAUCACUAUGAACUUUGUGGUAGGUUUAACAAGGACAUAAAGGAGAUUUGACACACUUUGGGUCAUUGUGGAUAGACUGACCAAGUCUGCAUAUUUUAUUCCAGUUAUUACUUCCCACACUUCGGAGCAAUUGGGUAAGAUCUACAUCCGGGAGAUUGUUCGCUUGCAUGGUGUAUCUGUUUUUAUCAUCUCGAAUCGCGAAACACAUGUCGUAUUUUUGGAGAGCGGUUUAGUGUAAUUUGGGCAUGCCAGUUGAUUUGAGUAUCGCAUUACAUUCUCAGAUGGAUGGGAAGUCCGAGCGGACCAUUCAAAUCUUAGAGGAUAUGUUGAGCACAUGCACUAUUGAUUUUGGAGGUAAGUGACACCAGUUUCUACCCCUAGCAAAGUUUGCUUAAAACAAGAGUUACCAGUCAAGUAUCUAGAUGGCUCUGUAUGAGGCACUAUAGGGGAGGCGAUGUCGUUCUCUGGUUGGUUGGUUUGAGGUUGGUGAGGCCAGGCUAUUUGGCACAUAUUUGGUUUGUGAUGCUUUAGAGAAGGUAAAAUUAAUUCAGGAACGACUUCAUACAGCGCAGUCUAGGCAAAAGAUUUAUGCGGAUCGAAAGGUUCGUGAUGUGGCAUUCAUGGAGGGUGAGAAGGCCUACCUAAAGUUUCCCCCAUAAAGGGUGCGGUGAGAUUUGGGAAGAAGGGCAAGUUGCGCCCUUGUUAUCUUGCUCCUUUCAAGGUCUUUGUCAUGCGAUUGUGAUUAUUGUGAUGCACAAGGGGCGAAUUAAGGGUGGUGAUAUGCGCAUGUGGUGAAAUAAGAGUGGCAUUAUUGAUGAUGUUAUGUGAUGAUUUGGGGGUAAUCCUCUUGAUGAUGUGCAUGUGAUGAAACGAAGAUGAUAUUUGAUCAUAUACAUGUUUGUCUUAAUCACCGUCUUUUAUUUUUAUGAGUUGCUAGUUGAAUUUGACAUUCUAUUAUGUGCCUCCACUUUUAGUUGAUGAUUUGCAGUCAAAGUUGGACUCUCCUACGUUGAGUUGUUAUCACAUGUUCUAACGAGAUUGAUGAUACUACUAUUCGUUACAUAUUCUACUGUGAGUUUUUGAUAUAUUGAACAGGUUUUUCUUGAAUAGUGAGUAUUAUAUGACUUGAACCUCAUCACUACUUCACCGAGGUUAGUCUUGAUACUUACUGGGUACCGAAUAUGGUGUACUCAUACUACCCUUCUGUGCAUUUUUGUGCAGAUCCAGGUAUUGGAGGCAGCAUAUCUAGAGAGUGAGCGCUUAUAUUGGUCGCGAAGAUUCAAGGUAUAGAUGUAUGUUGUCGCAAUCCCUUGGAGUCUCAUCCUUUAUGUUGAUACUGUUAAUUUUACAUUCAAAUAGUAUUGUACUUUGAAUAUUUCUUAUGUGUUCAGUUAGAGCUCAUGACUCUGUACUGUCUAGUUCUGGAAAGUUGUGUGUAGUCGUUUUUGGCUUAUAUUAACUCUAUUUUCGCUUUUAUAUUACAUUUUGUCUUAUUAUAUCAUG
This 8646-nucleotide long non-coding RNA is filed under the name Nicotiana tabacum (common tobacco). Its description in RNAcentral is "long non-coding RNA (NTAB_LNC009244)". Lineage: Eukaryota; Viridiplantae; Streptophyta; Magnoliopsida; Solanales; Solanaceae. The record is from RNAcentral.